AGGACGCUGGGAUCCGGGGUCUUGGGCUCCGUCAGAGGGAGUCUUGGAGACCGCCUGGUGGCGGCCGCGGCGUUGCCAUUCGCACGAUUUCACUGCAGGCUUGCUGUUUGAGUGCCGUGUUUCUCACAGCAUUGGAACAGCCGUCCUGAAGCAGGGAUGUGCCUCAGGUCUAACCGGCUGUGCACAUGGGGGGUCAGGGCCAGGCGUUUCGCGUAGCCCUGGAAGUGCUUGUUGGAACCCCACGCCCCACGUUGGAGUGCCUGAGUUUGAGUCUUGGCUCUGCCUCUGAUUCCGGGUCUGUGCUAAUGCACACCCUGGGAGGCAGCAGGUGACGGUCAGGUAGUUGGGUCCCUGCCACCCACAGGGCGACCUGGACUGAGCUCCUGAUCCCGGGCACCUGGGGAGUGAGCCAGUGGUUGGGAGAAGUCUGGCUGUCUGCCUUGUGAGUAGCUUAAGUAAAUAAAUAACAAGCCUUUAAAGAUGGUCCCUAAUCACCUCCUGCUGGGGUGUUCAAAGAGAAAAUUAACUGUGAAUGAUGGUUUUGAGUUGCGGAAGGAUAAUUUCUGAGAAAAUAAACUGAGAAGCAGAACAAAACACGUAACAUGUAUGAAAGUGCUGAAGAAUGGCGUGAAGAAAUGUAUGUCGUGCCUUCGGCAGGGCGUGCAUUUCUGCAUCUAGUGGUGGUCUUUCUAUACUUUCACUGCGUGGAGUCGAUAUCUAUAGGAGUGAGGAAACAGCUCAUCUAGACGGUCCACAGCAUUCCCGGGGCUCCAGACCUCUUGCUGACAUUCUUUUCUGUCGGGAGAAGUUAGUAUGUUCUUCACUGGCGUUAGUGGGCAUCCUCAGAACACUGGUCCAUGUGUUGCUGUGGUAACCAGUAGGCCAUGGGACUUGGGCUUGAGGUGUUCCCUGCUGUGUGCUGGAGGGCAGGUGCUCGCCCACCUGGGAGUCUGCAGGCCGCAGACCCAGGCUUGGGUCCCGCUUCACACCUGCUUCUCUUGGGAAAGGGCCGAUGCUGGUCUCUUCACAGUGGAUUGGUAAGAAUUAAAAUCUACCGUGAUUCAUGUAAAAUGUCCACUAUAAAGGCUGAUACAUAGCUGUUAGUAGCUACUGUUUUUUUUUUUUUUUUAAAGAUUUAUUUAUUUAAUUUGAAAGUCAGAGUUACACAGAGAGAGAAGGAGAGACAAAGAGAGAGGUCUUCCAUCUGCUGGUUCACUCCUCAGUUGGCUGCAAUGGCAGGAGCCGUGCCGAUCCGAAGCCAGGAGCCAGGAGCUUCCUCCAGGUCUCCCAAGUGGGUGCAGGGGCCCAAGGACUUGGGCCAUCCUCCACUGCUUUCCCCGGCCAUAGCAGAGAGCUGGAUCGGAAAUGGAGCAGCCGGGUCUCGAAUCGACUCCCAUAUGGGAUGCUGGCGCAGCAGGAGGCAGCCUACCCACUGUGCCACAGCACCGGCCCAGUAGCUACUGUUUUUAAGCAAUUAAGUCAUUUUUGUGUUCUGUGUGUGUUGCAAGAAUAUUUGUAAUCACUUGAUUACAAAACAUUUGGACUACAAGGAUUACGCCCAACGUGAACACAGGUGAGUAAGUAGCAGUCUGGGCAGUUCAGCACACAGAGGUAGGGAGUCUGCACUCACACCUCUGGAGCCUCCACUCACGGGAACCCCGUCCCGGGAGGAGACGCUGCUGCCUGAGGGCCGAUGUCUGCCCACGGCGUGGUCUGCACUCGCACCUCUGGAGCCUCCACUCACGGGAGCCCCGUCCCCGGAGGAGACGCUGCUGCCUGAGGGCCGAUGUCUGCCCACGGCGUGUUGUGAGCCCUCCCGGCUUCCCCGGAGAAGUGCUGGAGGCUCAGCGGGGCUUUCUGAUCUUGUGCCUUUGCUUAGUUUUGUUCCUAAGUAGUCACUAGAAUUGUUUUUGUUGCUAAGAUUUUUCACAUUUAUAUGAAGGGUAGAGUCAGAGAUAGGGACACACACACACACACACGGAGAGAGAGAGAGAGAGACUAUAGGUACUCUUCCAUCUGCUAGUUCACUCCUCAAAAGGCCACAGUGGCCAGAGCUGGGCCAGGCCAAAGCCAGGAGCUUCUUCUGGGUCUCCAUGUGGGUACAGGGGCCCAAGUACUUGGGUUAUCAUCUGCUGCUUUCCCAGGCCUUAGCAGAGAGCUGGGUUGGAAGUGGAGCAGCCGGGACUCGAACCAGUGCCCAUAGGGAUGUUGGCAUUGCAGGUGAAGGUUUAAUCUGCUACGCCAUAGUGCUGGCCCGAGGUGGGUGGUUGUUAAAGUAACAAUAUAUAAUAAACAGAUCAAAACGCUGUUGCUGACAAGCUGUUGUAAGUGUUUUAUUUCUGUUGCACUGCUUGCUAAGGGAUCUGAAGUAGUUCUGACCCCUGUCAUGACAGGUACCACUUGCAAGGUUUGUGCAUUUGUGUUUUUGUUUGAGAAAACUCCCAAAUCACAUAGAGAAGUGGUACAAACUGGUAUUAUUGAAAACAAAGUAGUAAUUUGUUUUGCUUUUUCAGUAUAAAAUACCCUAAGAAAGACAAAAGCACUAACCAGGCCUGACCCUGCGUAGCUUCUGAGAUCAGAGGAGACUGGGUAUGUUCAGGGUGGAAUGGCCAUAGAGGACAAAACAACUCUUAAACGUGAAGGGUGUGCUGCCUCCUACACUCCGCCCGCCUUCUGGGGUGAAGCAAGCCAGCACGGCUGGUGCUGUGCCACUUACAGACCCCGUUUAGCCAGGUGCGUUUGGAAAGUGAGAGGUCAUAAAGUGUUGUUUCGUCGUGUCUGAGUGCUCUUGAAUUGGCUUGUUCUGAGAGUCAUGUCGCUAAUACUCCUCCAGUUCUGUUGCGUGUGAGCUCAAACGUUGGCUCAACUGCUGCUGCUGCUGCAGGGACUUGGUGAGUGCCGUGUGGGCCGUAGCAGUGCUGGAGGUUGUCCUGCGGAGUGAGCCGUGAGCCCGGCCUCCCCAGCCGAGGGUUGUCCGCUGCGUGCAGCCCAGGUCCAGGUCAGCUGCCUUGUCUUCCAGGGACCCGGGUCCAGGUCAGCUGCCUUGUCUUCCAGGGACCCAGGUCCAGGUCAGCUGCACUGUCUUCCAGGGACCCAGGUCCAGGUCAGCUGCCUUGUCUUCCAGGGACCCGGGUCCAGGUCAGCUGCCUUGUCUUCCAGGGACCCGGGUCCAGGUCAGCUGCCUUGUCUUCCAGGGACCCAGGUCCAGGUCAGCUGCACUGUCUUCCAGGGACCCGGGUCCAGGUCAGCUGCACUGUCUUCCAGGGACCCGGGUCCAGGUCAGCUGCCUUGUCCUCCAGGGACCCGGGUCCAGGUCAGCUGCACUGUCUUCCAGGGACCCGGGUCCAGGUCAGCUGCCUUGUCUUCCAGGGACCCGGGUCCAGGUCAGCUGCAUUGUCUUCCAGGGACCCGGGUCCAGGUCAGCUGCAUUGUCUU
Molecule: non-coding RNA, 3435 nt
Organism: Oryctolagus cuniculus (rabbit)
Lineage: Eukaryota; Metazoa; Chordata; Mammalia; Lagomorpha; Leporidae
Source: RefSeq, a predicted model, not a curated record